RNA transcript from Toxotes jaculatrix (banded archerfish), 1838 nucleotides. It is a transcript of the gene named asialoglycoprotein receptor 1-like, with no coding region annotated. Lineage: Eukaryota; Metazoa; Chordata; Actinopteri; Toxotidae. The record is from RefSeq and is a predicted model, not a curated record. The transcript is spliced from 9 exons.
UUGUAAUACUGCUUUUUAUUAGAAUAUCAUCUUUUCAUAACACAAUAUAACACUGUGUAUGGGUUUCAGUUCACACAGAGCCAGUCAGGGAUGCAAAUGAAUGCCUCAACUAAAAGCAGAAGUUGUUCAUUUCAAGGCUGUGAGUGACAGACUCCACUAAACAGGGGAAACAACAACUUCUCGUAUUAGGAUGCGUUGUGGUUGAAUUACAGUGGCACUUCUCUGUCAAGUCAGACUCGUCCCAGGAGAACAAGUGCAGCAAUGGCAGAGGAGGUUAACUACGCCUCUGUUGUAUUCAAAGCCAAAAACAAUCCCCCACCUGAAGCUAAAAAGGAAGAGGACACUGUGUACGAUGAAGUGAAGGUGGAAAGUAAAAAAUCCCAAGAAACUGCGGACACAAAUGAAAGUGAUAAAAAUACCAAGCAAGCAGAGGAGAACCACGCAGGAUUCCUCCCAGAUAAGAAAGCAAACAACAGGCGUUGUCACCAAGUGGCUUUUUUUUUGGGCUUUCUUUGUGCCAUUUUGUUGGCAGGCAUCAUAGUGGUGGUCUCUGUCUACAUUGCUACAUUAAGUGAAGAGAGUGAAACAAAUGAGCUGAACCAGUUAAAAGUCAACCAAACAGCGAUACUGGCUGACAAUCGCAACCUGACAAACCUCAACAACAGGCUCAUGUCAGACAAUGAAAACCUGAGGAAAGACAACAAGAAUCUCACAGUCCAGUUUGACAACCUGACAAAAGCCUAUGCUGUCUUAGAAAACAAGAUGACAGAGCUGACAUCACAAAACCUUAACCUGACAGCACGAAACCAGGAGCUGGAGACACAAAACCUUAACCUGACAACACGAAACCAGAAGCUGGAGAAAGAGAGGAACAACUUAACACAAGAAAUACAAAACAUUCAGACAGAGUGGAAUGAGCUCAACGUCACUCGAGCUCAGUGGAGCAUUGAUGCCUACUGCACCAAAGAAAAUAACGGAAGACAGUGUAAAGCUUGUCAGAAGGGAUGGCUGGAAGAAAAGUCCAGAUGCUAUGCCAUUAAUGACCGUGAUCCUGCAGGUCAGAGAAACUGGGAAGGAGCUCGAGAAGACUGCAGAGGAAAGAUUUCAGAUUUGGCUGUUGUAGUUAAUGAACAGGAGAAGACGUACAUCAGUAAUAAUAUUUGGGGCAGCAUUGGAUUCUGGAUCGGCCUGAGAGCUGAAGAUGGGAGAUGGAAGUGGGUGGAUGGACGUAAUCUGACUGAAAGCUCCUGGAUACAACAACCUGCUGACAACGGUCAAUGUGUAAUUUCUGUCUAUAACCAAGGAUGGAAAUCAGUGAGCUGUAGUGACACAAACCGAUGGAUCUGUGAAAAGGCAGCUUUAUCUGUUUAAACACUGCAGACAAACUAGAGGUUACUGAAUCAUCUGUUAAGAUUAAUUAUAAAUAGGAUAAUGUCAGUUGGAUUAUAAAUAUAUAAUUAUGAAGAUUUCUAAUCACAAAUUGUGUUUUUGAAAAACAAAAUUUGAAAAUUUAAAGAAUUUUAUUUUUCUCAGAAAAAAGGUAAAAAAAAUGAAUGAUUUUUCAAAGCUGUUUGUGAAUGUGCUUUGUGUGUGUGUGUGUGUGUGUGUGUGUGUGUGUGUGUGUGUGUGUGUGUGUUAGAUAUUAGAUUAUAUAGGUACUGAGUCUGACUGCUGACACCAGCAUCAUUAAUGACUUUCAAUGUGCUUUUCUUCCACUCUGUUAGAGAUGCAGUGCUUGCAAUGUGUAUGUUAGUAGAUUGAUGAAAGGGACCAACAACACAUGGACAUUUUCCAUUAUUGCUGCUGAUUGGCCAGCAGAGGGAGCUGUGUUACCUCUC